UUGAACGCUGGCGGCAUGCCUUACACAUGCCAGUCGAACGGUAACAGGUUAAGCUGACGAGUGGCGAACGGGUGAGUAAUGUAUCGGAACGUGCCCAGUCGUGGGGGAUAACUGCUCGAAAGAGCAGCUAAUACCGCAUACGACCUGAGGGUGAAAGCGGGGGAUCGCAAGACCUCGCGCGAUUGGAGCGGCCGAUAUCAGAUUAGGUAGUUGGUGAGGUAAAGGCUCACCAAGCCGACGAUCUGUAGCUGGUCUGAGAGGACGACCAGCCACACUGGGACUGAGACACGGCCCAGACUCCUACGGGAGGCAGCAGUGGGGAAUUUUGGACAAUGGGCGCAAGCCUGAUCCAGCCAUGCCGCGUGCGGGAAGAAGGCCUUCGGGUUGUAAACCGCUUUUGUCAGGGAAGAAAAGGUUCUGGCUAAUACCUGGGACUCAUGACGGUACCUGAAGAAUAAGCACCGGCUAACUACGUG
This 476-nucleotide ribosomal RNA is filed under the name uncultured bacterium. Its description in RNAcentral is "partial 16S ribosomal RNA". It matches the Rfam family "Bacterial small subunit ribosomal RNA", at positions 30 to 507 of the family's 1533-position model. The record is from RNAcentral.